This is a long non-coding RNA of Cygnus atratus (black swan), 2467 nucleotides long. RefSeq lists it as uncharacterized. NCBI's taxonomy places the organism in Eukaryota, Metazoa, Chordata, Aves, Anseriformes, Anatidae. The record is from RefSeq and is a predicted model, not a curated record. The transcript has 8 exons.
UUUGUUUAUUUAUUUAUUUAUUUAUUUAAUUAAUUAAUUCCCGCAGCUCUCAGGUUUGUGCUCAGGCCUCGCGCGCCGCUCCUGUGGAGGCUGGGAAGGGGCUUCUGGUAAGGGACAAGUAAAGGCGGAGUGCUGAGACAAGCGGCUUGGAGAGAAGUGGGAGCUGCUCCUCCCGGCUGUGGUAACCAACUGCGUGAGAUGUGGGUGCUGGGAGCUGCAAGUUCGGCAAGAGUAAUCGGGGGGAAGUGUUGCGGUUUUAGACCUAAUUCUUAAAAAACGCCAAUACAGACUUUAUGGCUUGUUGUCCCUGCGCACUCAGAGCCUGGUGCAUGGAUGCAUAUUCUGCCCUUCAGAGACAAUGAAGAUAUGAAUUUGUAGCUCGCUCCUUGUUUCCCAGCUCCUGAGGCCAGUGACAGAGAAACAGCAGUCUGAGGUGAGACAGCAUUCAACAAAACCUCAUCAAAUGUUUUCAGAGUUCCUUGAGAAAAAAUACCGUUGUGCUUAAAAAGUGAAUAUUAUGUGCUCCACAGUACUUUCAUUUGAACCUGACCUUCCCAUUCUCCCUAUCUUCAUUUAAUAAUGAAAAUCAGUGGUUACAUUAGACACUGCUACUUUUUACUAUAAGUAGUUAUCCUAAAAAUGUAAGAGUUGUAUGGAUGUUUUUAUGAUUGUAGUACUUGGCCAGGGAUGAAAACAAUCAUCUGACUGUUUGCAUACUUACAGUGAUAUGCAGAAGUCUGAUGGAUGAAAGGAUUUUCUGAGGCCAAAACUAAUAUCUGUGUUCACUCAUUCUUGGUUUUUUAAUUAAGCUUUUUUCUUUUUCUUUUUUUUUUUUUUAAGCAUCUGAGCAGUAAAGAUCUCAAUUUCAGAAAGAUUUUUGUCUAAAGAUACUGGAAUGUAUAAUUUUCACUUGUCCACAAAUUACAACUAGAUUUUUGAUGCUGAAGAAUAUGUUAUUGUAACAGCACAUGCCCCUAAAGAUUUUACAGGAUUUAAAAGAUGGUUGGUUUAGGCAGAUUUUUGCUAUGAAACAUGAUGAGGAAAACAGUGAUUAUAUUUGGAUUUCCAAAACAGUCUUUGCUCUUAUUAUACUUGUUUUUAUACCAAUUCUGAUCUUAGUAUCUGAGUACAUUGUAUUAAUGUUAGGUAACACCAAAACAACUGAGAAUGUAAGUCUUUGCUAUCAGUUGACAGCAUUGCAUAUGAAAAUGAAAUAUUUCUCUUUGGUACAGAAUGUGGAAUUGGAGCAUUUGAAAAAUAAAAUUUUAAUUAAAAUUCAUGUAUAACUUCCUUUCUUCAGAGAGUUGUUGUAAUUGUAUGUCCUUAACAACCACCUACAAAAGAGCAAAUAUGCUGCUGAAAUAACUUUUUCUGACAAUGAAAUAUUUGAAAAUCAUAACCAAUCAAUGCACAGCAUUAACUUCACUGAUUUAGAAUGGUGCUUUUUCGUUUAGAUUCUACAAAGAAAUGUAUAUAACAACAAUUAUCUCCCUUUUAUAAGCAAAGAGAAAACAAAUAGUAAAGCAAAAAGAAGCACCUUGGAGUUGAAACAUUCCAGAUGGAUUUGGAACAGUUCUGUGUGGAUUUUCUGCUAGAAUUUCAGAUUUCACUCCAAAUUGAGAUCUUCAGCACAGGGAAGAUUAGAACCAGUAAAGGAGUAAUUAAGGCCCUUCAUACGUACACAAAGGUAGCAGCCACAAGAGAUUAAACGCUGUUAAGUGUAGUGAAGUGUGAAGAUGACAAGAUAAAUGAACCAGAGGCGCCUCAUCUUCCAACGCACAGUGGUACAGGUUUUGUAUUCCAGACACAAAUGUCACCUUCGGGUUGAAGCCACAGUAGAUGAAUCGCUCUCACAGAGGCCUGAAGAUGCAAUUCAAAAGGGAAGAAAUUAAUUUUCUCUUCUGCACAAGUAGUUUCUACUCUUGAACUGGUCACCGAAAUGCCAGUAAGCCUCGACGUCCUUCUAGUAAGCCAGUAACAUGAUCACAGCAUAACAGCCUGCCUCACAGCAAGUCAAGGAGAAGAGGGCAGAUGCUAGUAGGAAUUGAGGCUACUUGGAGAUUGAUGCCUGGCAAUAUUAACCAGAGGCCUGAGAAAGGUGAAGGCUUUCAGAGACCGGGGCUAAGCCCUGCACUGGGUUUACAUGGCAAGGUUUUGGUAGCAUGGGGGCUGCUGGGGUGGCCUCUGCAAGGAGUCCAGGAGCUACCCCAUGGUAAGAGUUCGGAAAGGACAGCAUCCCUUGGGAGGGACCCCACGUGGAGCAGGAGCAGAGAGUGACCGUGACGGAGUGGAGAAGACGAAGCAUCAGGGACUGACCGCGGCCCCCAUUCCUCGUUCCCCUGCAUUGCUUCGGGGGGAGGACAUAGAGUAGGGUGGAUGGGGGGGAGGAAGGUGGUUUUAGUUUGUUUUUAGUUCACACUGCUCUAGUCUGUUAUCAAUAGGAAAUAAAUUAUAUUAAUCACCCUUA